Molecule: transfer RNA, 80 nt
Filed under: Vibrio phage 70E38.1
Lineage: Duplodnaviria; Heunggongvirae; Uroviricota; Caudoviricetes; Demerecviridae
Also listed under: 283 other names
Description: tRNA-Met
Rfam family: tRNA
About the family: Transfer RNA (tRNA) molecules are approximately 80 nucleotides in length. Their secondary structure includes four short double-helical elements and three loops (D, anti-codon, and T loops). Further hydrogen bonds mediate the characteristic L-shaped molecular structure. tRNAs have two regions of fundamental functional importance: the anti-codon, which is responsible for specific mRNA codon recognition, and the 3' end, to which the tRNAs corresponding amino acid is attached (by aminoacyl-tRNA synthetases). tRNAs cope with the degeneracy of the genetic code in two manners: having more than one tRNA (with a specific anti-codon) for a particular amino acid; and 'wobble' base-pairing, i.e. permitting non-standard base-pairing at the 3rd anti-codon position.
Source: RNAcentral
GGACCUGAAGCUUAAGGCUGGUAUAAGCACUCGGCUCAUAACCGAUAGAUAGGAGGGUUCGAGUCCCCCGAGGUUCACCA